GAUGAAGAACGCAGCGAAAUGCGAUAAGUAAUGUGAAUUGCAGAAUUCAGUGAAUCAUCGAAUCUUUGAACGCACCUUGCGCCCUUUGGCUAUUCCGAAGGGCAUGCCUGUUUGAGUAUCGUGAACACCUCAACUCUCAUGGUUUGCCAUGAUGAGCUUGGACUUUGGGGGUUUUGCUGGCCUUUGGUCGGCUCCUCUCAAACGGAUCAGCUUUCCAGUGUUUGGUGGCGUCACGGGUGUGAUAACUAUCUACGCCUGUGGUUUUCUGCCAGAUAACCUUAAGCGAUGGAGGUUCGCUGGGGCUCAUAAAUGUCUCUCUUCAGUGGAGACAGCUUUUUGGACGUUUGAUCUCAAAUCAGGUAGGACUACCCGCUGAACUUAAGCAUAUCAAUAAGCGGAGGA
Molecule: unclassified non-coding RNA, 402 nt
Filed under: soil metagenome
Description: partial contains 5.8S ribosomal RNA, internal transcribed spacer 2, and large subunit ribosomal RNA
Rfam family: 5.8S ribosomal RNA (bases 1-121)
Source: RNAcentral